UGCCUCAGUAACGGCGAGUGAAGCGGCAAAAGCUCAAAUUUUAAAGCUGGCACCUUCGGUGUCCGCGUUGUAAUUUUGUGAGGCAUCUCCGGGUAGGGCGCCGGCCUAAGUUCCUUGGAACAGGACGUCAUAGAGGGUGAGAAUCCCGUGCUUGGCUGGCUGUCCCCGUCCAUGUGAGGUGUCUUCGACGAGUCGAGUUGUUUGGGAAUGCAGCUCAAAAUGGGUGGUAAAUUUCAUCUAAAGCUAAAUAUUGGUGGGAGACCGAUAGCGCACAAGUAGAGUGAUCGAAAGAUGAAAAGCACUUUGAAAAUAGAGUUAAAAAGUACGUGAAAUUGUUGAAAGGGAAGCGCUUGAGACCAGACUUCGGUGGGGGGUGAUCAGCUGUCCUUCUGGGCGGUGCACUUGCUCCCCUCCGGGCCAGCAUCGGUUGGGGCGGCGGGAUAAAGAUCCCGGGAAUGUGGCUCCUUUCGGGGAGUGUUAUAGCCCGGGUGAAUGCCGCCAGCUCCGACCGAGGACCGCGCCUUCGGGCUAGGAUGCUUGGCAUAAUGGUCUUCAGCGACCCGUCUUGAAACACGGACCAAGGAGUCUAACAUCUAUGCGAGUGUUUGGGGUGUCAAACCCUUACGCGAAAUGAAAGUGAACGGAGGUGGGAACCCGCAAGGGCGCACCAUCGACCGGUCCUGAAGUCUUCUGAAGGAUCUGAGUAGGAGCAUAGCUGUUGGGACCCGAAAGAUGGUGAACUAUGCC
Molecule: ribosomal RNA, 747 nt
Filed under: Morchella vulgaris
Lineage: Eukaryota; Fungi; Ascomycota; Pezizomycetes; Pezizales; Morchellaceae
Description: partial large subunit ribosomal RNA
Rfam family: Eukaryotic large subunit ribosomal RNA
Source: RNAcentral